UUACGAUCACAUCUCGUUGAAACACUGGUUCCCGUAUGAUCACCGAAGUUAAGCAACGUCGAGCCUAGUCAGUACUCAGAUGAGUGACCGCUUAGGAAUAUCGGGUGCUGUAAG
Non-coding RNA from Acanthosepion pharaonis, 114 nucleotides. The record is from the annotation of a GenBank genome assembly. Lineage: Eukaryota; Metazoa; Mollusca; Cephalopoda; Sepiida; Sepiidae.